Molecule: RNA transcript, 763 nt
Organism: Myodes glareolus (Bank vole)
Lineage: Eukaryota; Metazoa; Chordata; Mammalia; Rodentia; Cricetidae
Gene: Npm3
Gene name: nucleophosmin/nucleoplasmin 3
Source: RefSeq, a predicted model, not a curated record
GGGGCGGGGCUUCUCACGGCAGUUUCAGCAUGGCCGCCGGUGCUGCAGCUGCUUUAGCGUUCUUCAGUCAAGAGAGCCGAGCCCGAGCUGGGGGUUUGGGAGGCCUGAGAGUCCCGGCUCCAGUCACGAUGGACAGUUUCUUUUUCGGCUGUGAGCUCUCCGGCCAAACCCGCUCCUUCACUUUCAAGGUUGAGGAAGAGGAUGAUACCGAACAUGUGCUGGCAUUGAACAUGCUGUGCCUUACCGAGGGGGCCAAGGACGAGUGUAAUGUGGUGGAAGUUGUGGCCCGGGAUCACGACAAUCAGGAGAUUGCUGUUCCUGUGGCCAACCUCAGGUUAUCUUGCCAGCCCAUGCUCAGUCUGGAUGAUUUCCAGCUCCAGCCACCUGUAACCUUCCGCUUGAAGUCCGGUUCUGGGCCCGUGCGCAUCACUGGUCGGCAUCGGAUUGUGUGUAUAAACAAUGAUUUUUCUGAAGAAGAGGACAGCGAGGAGGAGGAAAUUAAGCUGUGCGGCAUCCUUCCUGCCAAAAAGCACGGGGGCAGGUCCUAGCCCCCUUUCGGUUAGGGAGCUGCAGGCAUCAUGCACCAUAUGUUCCUGGACAAGUUUCAAGAAUUGUUGCCUGAAGCUUCCCUUUGCUCUUGGGGUGGGAUACCUUUGAACAUCUCUCCUGAUCUUCUCUCCCCUCCACCUGCAGAUUGAAUGUUUUGUGAAUCCCAGCACUGCAAAAAAAAAAAAAAAGAAGUUCAGAACAUUUUUAACACUUU